Molecule: long non-coding RNA, 922 nt
Filed under: Homo sapiens (human)
Lineage: Eukaryota; Metazoa; Chordata; Mammalia; Primates; Hominidae
Description: HSALNT0244382
Source: RNAcentral
AAUGGAUUAUAUUUUUAGCCCAGAGGAGAUUAUAUUUAUAAUUCAAAACCUGUUAAUUCAAAUCCUGUGUAGUAUUGGCUAUGUCUCAUCUCUUGUUUUCUUGACAUAUGUGAUUUCAUUCAUUUUUCGCAAUGGGAGAAAAAAUAGUGGCAUUUGGUCAUUUUUCUUCUUAAUUGUGGUCAUCUUCUCGAUAGUUGCUACUGAUCUAAAUGAAUAUGGAUUUCUAGGGCUAUUUUUUGGCACCAUGUUAAUACCUCCCUUCACAUUGAUUGGCUCUCUAUUCAUUUUUUCUGAGGUAAGUAGUUCCACUUCUGUCUGAGGGUCAUGAAAUGUGUGGUCAUUUGAGAAAGCCAUGAAUAUUGCAAAAAUAUAGAUAGAGUCCUCAGCUGUGCAAAGUUUAAAAGUCUCUGUCUUUGGAAAGUCAGUUCUCUUGCCACGCAUGGAUAAGGGGCAUGUUCUGAUUCAGUAGGAAGCCAGCUUUGGUUUAUGACAAGUCAAAGGCAACUCCAGGAGAGUGGAAGUUUAGUUCUCAUGAUAACUCUCACUGCUGGGAACCCUACUGGGAGGCCAAAGAGAUGCCCCUUUUUUGUUAAGUUUUGGAUAUGUUAGGUUUGAGAAAUGUCAAGUAGCCAGUUAGAUACAUGAGUCAGGAAUUCAAUGUGUCAGGGUGUGUGGAGAUGGGGGUUAAAGCUAGAUAUUUGAGAUUGAUCAGUUUAUAAAUGGUAUGAAAAGCCAUGCGACAAUAAUAUGACCUACGCGGUGAGUAGAGAUAGAAAUAAAAAGAAGGCCAAUGACAUGACCUUAAACUCCAAAAUUUAGAGAUUGGAAAGCAAAUACAUGAUCUUGAACUCCAAAACUUAGAGUUGGUGAAGAGGAGGAGCCAGCGAAUCCAUUUGAGAUGGAGCCAGGGAGAUAAGAGAAC